CUGUUUUCUCUCUGAAGGUCACUGGUACUGCCCAAAUCAAAGCAAAGCACCUUACUUCAUCAUUGAGCAGGUUCAGCAGCAGUGCUGCUGCCCAGCAACAGCUUGACAGUAUUACAUAACAAUGAGCUUAUCAGUCAGCAGAGCCUUGAGCAUCUCAGCUACAAACUACUCACUGUGGCCCACAACUGGCAUGGAACUCAGGUGUCUUUUUGAGAUGAGAUUAUGGGUUGUUUUUAAAAAGACCUCCUAGGAUAUGUUCCUACUAAUAGAACAGGUUUUGUGGGCAUAUUAUACUCCUAACUACCCUGGUCACAGCCUUGUCUUUUAACAAUCAUUUUCAAGUCUUCCAAAUAAAUUCAAAGAGUAAACUAAACGCCAACAUGCAAAUUCUCCCCCACCUUCUUUGCUGGUGGAGACACUGGGGACUGCAUCAUUAGGUGGGGUUCAACUAGCAGAGCUGCCCUAAUGUGCAUUGCUGAUAUCCAGACCCAGCUGUCUGAUUAGCUUUAACUAAUAGGUUUACACUGAACCUAGAAACAGCAAGUAAACACUGUGCAGCAUCCCUGGGAAUAAAUAAAUAAAUAAGGAAAGCACUCAAGUAGUGGCAGUGGAUGACUCAGUAUGAUUAGUGAUUCAUAAAUAUUUUAAACAUCAGUCACCCUAGAUGAGGCAAAACUUAGGUCUGCUUUUGUAUGACAUGGUGAGUUAGUCUGAAGCAAGCAGAAAGGCUUCCUCCCUUGUAUAAGCAGCAACUGCAGGAGAUGCUUCUGAAGUACUUAUUUAUGGGGAUACGUUUGGAAGGAUCAAUGAUGAGCUGGUUCUGCACAAAAUCCCAGGGGCUUCCAGGCUGUAUAAUGGGAAAGGGAAGAAAGAGAAAGUGAGAUCAGUCUCGAAGCCACCUCACGCCAUACAGAAGAUGAAAUGCUAUGGUUUUUGUGAAACGGGUGGCCAACUAAUUCAAGUUAUUAGGUGGUCAUUUCUCAUCUCUAGGAGACCUGAAGGCUGCAGAUCAAUACUGCAAGUGAGUGAUUAGUAGAUAUCAAGCAUCAGGGUUUGCAAUUAUCUAAUCCAAAGGUUAAAUCCUUGUACCAGGCCUCAUACUGUUCUUUACUUGUGGGUAGCUCUGUCACCUCGGUGGCUUUGGCGUGGAUGACUUCACGGUUUUGUUUGUUGCAUUGGUGCUGAUAGCAGGUAAAUAUGGAGACAUAGCAAGAAAUGCAUUUCAUUUCUCUGCUAACUUCCAACGGAGGAAAAAGAGCGUUUUGGAGACUGAAUAAAGUCUUCUGCAUCACAUGUAAUUUUGCA
RNAcentral lists this long non-coding RNA (1305 nucleotides) under Coturnix japonica (Japanese quail). RNAcentral's name for it is "lncRNA (ENSCJPG00005019895.1)". The record is from RNAcentral. Lineage: Eukaryota; Metazoa; Chordata; Aves; Galliformes; Phasianidae.